RNAcentral lists this ribosomal RNA (474 nucleotides) under uncultured bacterium. RNAcentral describes it as "partial 16S ribosomal RNA". It matches the Rfam family "Bacterial small subunit ribosomal RNA", at positions 29 to 523 of the family's 1533-position model. The record is from RNAcentral.
AACGAACGCUGGCGGCAGGCCUAAAACAUGCAAGUUGAGUGGCUACUUCGGUAGCAGCAGCGCACGGGUGAGUAACACGUGGGAACGUGCCCCUGGGUGCGGGACAACGUCUGGAAACGGACGCUAAUACCGCAUAAUGACUCCGGUCCAAAGAUUUAUCGCCCAGGGACCGGCCCGCGUCUGAUUAGGUAGUUGGUGGGGUAGUGGCCUACCAAGCCGGCGAUCAGGAGCUGGUCGGAGAGGAUGAUCAGCCACACUGGGACUGAGACAGGGCCCAGACUGCUGCGGGAGGCAGCAGUGGGGAAUCUUCGGCAAUGGGCGAAAGCCUGACCGAGCAACGCCGGAUGGAUGAUGAAGGCCUUCGGGUUGUAAAAUUCUGUUAUAAGGGAAGAACGACUUUAGUAGGAAAUGGCUAGAGUGUGACGGUACCUUAUGAGAAAGCCACGGCUAACUACGUGCCAGCAGCCGCGGUAA